UGGGCUGUGGUUUUCUAUUUGGCAAUAGUGCAGCUUAAAUGAAUGUAUGCUGUCCCUCCAGCUCCCCUGUCCAGCCCAGACCUGGUUUGUGCUGCAGCCACAAACAGCAGCACCAGCACAACAUGGGGCCUUCUCCUUCUGCAGCUCACUGCUUGGAAAGAUUUCAGGAGUGCUUCUGUCCCAUUUUAAGCCCUACAGUUCAGCAGCCAAAUAUAAAGAAAUCAGAUGAAUCUGGACAGCGUGAGGCCCUGAAAUGCUGUCUUGGAUUUUCACACCAGUAAGGCAAAGAAACAGGAGUGUCCAUGCAAAUCCACAAGCGUGUGUUUGACUUCUCUGUUAGUGCUGUUUCCCCCCCGGGCUGCCGGGGCCGAGCCGAGGCAGAGGGACCCGUGAGGAUGUGCGUGGUGGUCCCGCACCGCCCGUCCCGCAGCCCCGUCCCGGCUCUUCCUGCCCGAGGGAAGCAGCAGCGGAUCCCCACCCGCUUCGCAGUGAGUUCGCCUGGCCUUGGAGUUCUCUUUGCCUCCAGGCAAAGGCUCCUGUCUAAACCGCGCCAUGAAAAUAAAACACAGAGGGAGAGAAGGAGGGGAAGUUGUGUUUCCCAAAACUGAAAGACAGUAAAAAAAGGUCGUCAAAAAUAUCCAGAUGAAGACAGUAAAGGAAGAACAUCAACAACUUUAGGGACGGGAUUCUAAGAGCGAAAAUGGUUUCAGGCUAAAAUGACAUUAAAAAUCACGAGGGCACGUUUUCUUCGCAGCGCGGCUUUCACACACGAGCAUAUAACACACAUGAGAAAACACGUUUUAAGAAUUGAACUUACCCCCGCCUGCCAAAUCCUCCCAACUUGUGGGACUGUUCCUUAGCGCUGCACACAACCUGGUCCUCCAAGCCCUGCGUUAAGCACUGCUGAUACAGUGGAACAGGAAUAAAAUUGAAAAGAAAAGUUUUUGUCA
This 950-nucleotide long non-coding RNA is filed under the name Coturnix japonica (Japanese quail). Its description in RNAcentral is "lncRNA (ENSCJPG00005012450.1)". Lineage: Eukaryota; Metazoa; Chordata; Aves; Galliformes; Phasianidae. The record is from RNAcentral.